Molecule: small nuclear RNA, 86 nt
Filed under: Neogale vison (American mink)
Lineage: Eukaryota; Metazoa; Chordata; Mammalia; Carnivora; Mustelidae
Description: Neovison vison (American mink) U4 spliceosomal RNA (ENSNVIG00000017612.1)
Rfam family: U4 spliceosomal RNA
About the family: U4 small nuclear RNA (U4 snRNA) is a component of the major U2-dependent spliceosome.
Source: RNAcentral
UUCUUUGCGCAGUGGCAGUAUCGUAGCCAAUGAGGUUUAUCCGAGGCGCGAUUAUUGCUAAUUGAAAAAUAUGUAUAAAAUAGAUC